This is a long non-coding RNA of Magnolia sinica, 3521 nucleotides long. RefSeq lists it as uncharacterized. The record is from RefSeq and is a predicted model, not a curated record. The transcript has 2 exons. Lineage: Eukaryota; Viridiplantae; Streptophyta; Magnoliopsida; Magnoliales; Magnoliaceae.
UUUUCUUCAUUCUAGGGUUUUGAUUAUUUGUUAUUGUUGUUGUUGUUUUUUUUUUUUUUUUUGGAAUUUUACUGAAAAAAUUGCGAACAUUUGAGUUUUCUGGAAGUUGGGGUUUUGUCAAAAAGUAGUUAUUCGGUCAUCUAGCACUGCAUUUGGGCCCACAAGUGGGGCCCACUAUCCGGGCAUCUUGGCAGUUGAUCCGAGGCCCCCCCACCGUGAUGGGGCAGGCUUCAAUAUGUAUAUAUGUUUUUUCAGAGUGGAAGGUUGACCACAGCCAGUGGGUCUUUGGGGCAUGGUCAAUCGAUGGUGGGGCCCAGCAGGUCGAUGGUUUGACAAGGAAGAGGGAGCUGAGCUUGUAGAAGAUCAUGUAACCGAGGAUCACGUAGUUUGUCUUUCUUAAUAGAUUAUUUUAAGGGCUUUUAGUUAUGAGCUUUUGAUUUUAAGGGGUCGUUUGGAUGCUGCAGAUGAUUUAAGUGGUGAAUGAUUUACAGGUGUAAACCAUUUACAGCAUCUCUUGUUUGGCUGUAAGCUGCAAAUGAUUUACAGGUUAAUGAUUGUCUGUGUUUGGAUAGCCUGUAAAUGAAAUCCCACCUUUUUUACUGUAAAUGAGAUGGGGUAAAUGCUGUAAGCUGUAAAUGAUUUACAGGCAAAAAAGGUCAUCCAACCGCAGAGUGUAAAUGAUUUCCCAGUUAAUCGUUUACAACUUGCUCCCAUUUACAAGCAUCCAAACGAUCCUUAAUUGUUUGGGGUCAGUUUGGUUGCACCAAAUGUCAGAUAUUUGUUGAGCACUCAAAUACCCAAUUUGGAUUCAUGGUGUCAAAUGGAAUAAAAACCUAAACCAAACCAAUAUGCAAAAUCCUUCUUUUAGGAUGAGUUUGGUUCACCAAAUGUUAAAUAUUUGGUGCAACCAAAUGCACUCUCAAAGAAGGGUUUUGCAGAUUGGUUUGGUUUGGGUUUUUGUUCUAUUUGGCAUUAUGAAUCCAAAUCGGGUAUUUGAGUGCUCUUAUGGAGUGAUGUCUAAUAGAAUUGCACCCAUAUUCAUAGGUAUUGGAAAGAUGAUACUGAUUUUGACAUCAAAACUGUUGGACGAAAGAAACAUCUCAUCUUUUAUGAAUACCAUGUGAUGUUGUGAGUUCAUAUGGGCAAGAUUAGUUUUUUUUUUUUUUCCUUCUUCAAAUGCUAUAAUGAGAUGGGUAUGUGUCAGAUUGGAGCUGUGGAUUUGCAUGAUGUAGACAUUGCAAUGGUCAUGGUUUUAGAUAGUGUUUGCAGAGUUUGACUUGCCUGGGGACCAUAAUUGGGAAGCCUUGCCCGGGGACCAUAACCAGGAUGACUUGCCCUAGCACUGAACUAAAAAAAUACUAUGAUUCUUGUUGUCGAUAUCAUGGGAUGUAGGUGAGCUCAUGAGGGUGAGAUUAGUUUUUUUUUUUUUUUUUCAAUUGCUAUGAUGAGAUGGUUUUUCAAUUGCUAUAAUGAGAUAGUUAUGCAUCAGAUUGGAAUUGUGAGCGGCCACGAUGUAGACAUUGGAAUGGUCAUGUUUUUAAAUAGCAGUUGUGGAGUGCGAUUAGCAUGGGGACAAUAAUCAGGAAGACUUGGCCCGGCGCCUAACUGAAAAAAUGCAUUACGGUUAUUAUGAGAUGUCAUGAGUUCAUGUGGGUGAGAGUAGGGUUUUUUUUUUUUUUUUUUCAAUUGUAAUGAAAUGAGUAUGUUAGAGAUUGGAGUUGUGAGUGACCACGACGUAGUCACAGGAAUUGUCAUGGUUUUAAAUAGUGGUUUUGGAGUGCAGUGUGCCUGGUGACUGUAAUCAGUAAGACGUGUGAGGACCAUUUUUUUUUUUUUGGGUCCAUUUCACUUCACUUUUGUUUUGUUUAGGGGGCGUUCGGAUUGUAAGUUACUUAAGCUACUUAUGCCUCAAGUUAUCUUGGUUUCUACUUAUUAAGCUGAAGUGAUUAAGUAUCUUUAAGUAAAAAAGUUACUUAUAAUUGAUCUUAAACCAAACAUACUUAUCUCAAACAAGUUACUCAUCUACUGCUGUAAGUAGAAAAAGUAACUGAUUUGGUGGUAUCCAAAUGGGCCCUAAGUGACUUGUUUCAUUGCCCUCUGAAACUGAGAUGACCCAGCUGAGUUGAAUUGGUUUCAGAUUAUAUUGAGAACCAUAGGAAUCUAGCAGUUCACAACUGAAAAAUGUAGGAAAAUUCACACUCAUUGCAGAUGUCAUGAGAAGCAAAUGGUGAUGGCAGCUUAUGCGGAGGAAUGCAAGUCUUGUUCCAAGUUCCAAUAAAAUUGGAACUAGCGUUCAGAGGGCCAAAAUAAUAUUUUGAUUCUAACUUUUAUUUGCUGAUGUGAGAAUGGUUUGCUUGCUGUUUCUCCAUCGAUAUAGACUUGUGUACAACACACAAUAGAAAUGCUGUGAUGCACAAAUGGUCACAAAAGGAAGAAAAGGAUUCAAUGCAAUUUGUUGGAAAUUGAAGGAACCAGUUCAUAAAUCUCAAUCAGUUAUUAAGCGCAAAAACAUAGAUGUUAUUUCCAAGUGAUAAGGGAAAUAAAAGAGAACGGUAAUUUGAAUGGAGAGUGAGCUCCAAAUGGCCACCUCUAAUAUCCCCUCUCUCUAUAUCUAAUGCAUUUGAUUGGCAGAUCAAGUGAUUAUGAUUUUGACAAGUUGUAUGUAUUCCAAAACGGGGAACUGUAUUGGCCUUUUAUUCUGCUGGUAGUUUUGAGUUAUGUCAUUUUUAAUAAGUUUUAACAAUUUUGUUGUGCUUUUCCGUUGAUGAUUUUUGGAGUUCCUAAUGAAAUGGUAUCGGAAGAGACUUAUUCAAUGCCAAGAAUUCAGAGUAUGUCUUGAUAAUGUGUCAUUAGAUGCAGAAAUCAGUUCUAACUUUCUACCUGCAUGAUGCAUGGACUGUAAAAAGUCCAUCGAAAGAGAUAGUUAUGAAGAGAACUUUAGCAAAGAGAGGCAAUUUGAACUUGAAUAGCAAGAUUCUCACCAUUAACCUCAAUAUAAAUAAAUAAAAAUCGUAGCAAUUCUUGGUUGAAUAUCCAAGUUUUUAAAAGAUUGCUAACUGGUUAAACUUGGAUUGAGAUGGUGAAGGGAUAUGAGACUUGUUCGCUUACCGAGGAUCGGGCCUUAGAUUGGAUCGACUGACGAAAUAAGAUUCUUAAAGCCAACCCCAAAUAGCUGUGGACAAGGCUUUGAUGAUAUGAUUGGUGAUGCUGAUUUAGCAAUACUCGGCUGAACGCCUAGGAUUUUUUUAAUAGCAUUGCUAUUUGACUGGCUAUAUUGGACAAAACGUUAGGCAAUUAGGAACUAACAUGAGCAAGAAAUGAACAUUGCAGAGGUAAGGAUGUCGAGAUAGAUGCGUGGGAAGACUAGCAAGGACAUAAUAAAGGAUAAGGUCAUUUGAUUGGGAGAGUACAUUAAGAUGGUUCAAUCAUAUGCAUGAAAAACAAAGAAGGCCCUAAUAAAUAGGAGAAGUGAGAAAUUCCAAAAGCAUAGGAUCAUUUGCCCUCCAGUUCUAACUUUGGAA